AUAUCGGAACGUACCAUUCAGUGGGGGAUAACGUAGCGAAAGUUACGCUAAUACCGCAUAUUCUGUGAGCAGGAAAGCAGGGGAUCGCAAGACCUUGCGCUGAUUGAGCGGCCGAUAUCAGAUUAGCUUGUUGGUGAGGUAAAAGCUCACCAAGGCGACGAUCUGUAGCGGGUCUGAGAGGAUGAUCCGCCACACUGGAACUGAGACACGGUCCAGACUCCUACGGGAGGCAGCAGUGGGGAAUUUUGGACAUGGGGGCAACCCUGAUCCAGCCAUGCCGCGUGAGUGAAGAAGGCCUUCGGGUUGUAAAGCUCUUUCAGCCGGGAAGAAAACGCAUGGGUUAAUACCCUGUGUGGAUGACGGUACCGGAAUAAGAAGCACCGGCUAACUACGUGCCAGCAGCCGCGGUAAUACGUAGGGUGCGAGCGUUAAUCGGAAUUACUGGGCGUAAAGCGUGCGCAGGCGGUUUUGUAAGACAGGCGUGAAAUCCCCGGGCUUAACCUGGGAACUGCGUUUGUGACUGCAAGGCUAGAGUACGGCAGAGGGGGGGUGGAAUUCCACGUGUAGCAGUGAAAUGCGUAGAGAUGUGGAGGAACACCAAUGGCGAAGGCAGCCCCCUGGGUCGAUACUGACGCUCAUGCACGAAAGCGUGGGUAGCAAACAGGAUUAGAUACCCUGGUAGUCCACGCCCUAAACGAUGUCAACUAGGUGUUGGGAGGGUAAAACCUUUUAGUACCGGAGCUAACGCGUGAAGUUGACCGCCUGGGGAGUACGGCCGCAAGGUUAAAACUCAAAGGAAUUGACGGGGACCCGCACAAGCGGUGGAUGAUGUGGAUUAAUUCGAUGCAACGCGAAAAACCUUACCUACCCUUGACAUGCCAAGAACUUUCCAGAGAUGGAUUGGUGCCCGAAAGGGAACUUGGACACAGGUGCUGCAUGGCUGUCGUCAGCUCGUGUCGUGAGAUGUUGGGUUAAGUCCCGCAACGAGCGCAACCCUUGUCGUUAAUUGCCAUCACUUAGUUGGGCACUUUAACGAGACUGCCGGUGACAAACCGGAGGAAGGUGGGGAUGACGUCAAGUCCUCAUGGCCCUUAUGGGUAGGGCUUCACACGUCAUACAAUGGGCGGUACAAAGGGUCGCCAAGCCGCGAGGUGGAGCCAAUCCCAGAAAGCCGAUCGUAGUCCGGAUCGCAGUCUGCAACUCGACUGCGUGAAGUCGGAAUCGCUAGUAAUCGUGGAUCAGAAUGUCACGGUGAAUACGUUCCCGGGUCUUGUACACACCGCCCGUCACACCAUGGGAGCGGGUUCCGCCAGAAGUAGGUAGCCUAACCGCAAGGAGGGCGCUUACCACGGCGGGGUUCGUGACUGGGGUGAAGUCGUAACAAGGUA
This 1388-nucleotide ribosomal RNA is filed under the name metagenome. RNAcentral's name for it is "bacterial SSU rRNA". It matches the Rfam family "Bacterial small subunit ribosomal RNA". The record is from RNAcentral.